GACGAACGCUGGCGGCGUGCUUAACACAUGCAAGUCGAACGGAAAGGCCCCUUUGGGGGUACUCGAGUGGCGAACGGGUGAGUAACACGUGAGUAACCUGCCCUUGGCUUCGGGAUAACUUCAGGAAACUGGGGCUAGUACCGGAUAGGAAUCCUUGCUGCAUGGUGGGGGUUGGAAAGCUUCGGCGGUUUUGGAUGGACUCGCGGCUUAUCAGCUUGUUGGUGGGGUAGUGGCUUACCAAGGCUUUGACGGGUAGCCGGCCUGAGAGGGCGACCGGCCACAUUGGGACUGAGAUACGGCCCAGACUCCUACGGGAGGCAGCAGUGGGGAAUAUUGCACAAUGGGCGGAAGCCUGAUGCAGCAACGCCGCGUGCGGGAUGACGGCCUUCGGGUUGUAAACCGCUUUCAGCAGGGGCGAAGCUUGUGGUGACGGUACCUGCAGAAGAAGCACCGGCUAACUACGUG
RNAcentral lists this ribosomal RNA (465 nucleotides) under uncultured bacterium. Its description in RNAcentral is "partial 16S ribosomal RNA". It matches the Rfam family "Bacterial small subunit ribosomal RNA", at positions 28 to 507 of the family's 1533-position model. The record is from RNAcentral.